Molecule: ribosomal RNA, 253 nt
Filed under: uncultured bacterium
Lineage: Bacteria
Description: partial 16S ribosomal RNA
Rfam family: Bacterial small subunit ribosomal RNA
Source: RNAcentral
UACGGGGGGGGCAAGCGUUGUUCGGAAUUACUGGGCGUAAAGGGCGCGUAGGUGGCCAACUAAGUCAGACGUGAAAUCCCUCGGCUUAACCGGGGAACUGCGUCUGAUACUGGAUGGCUUGAGUUCGGGAGAGGGAUGCGGAAUUCCAGGUGUAGCGGUGAAAUGCGUAGAUAUCUGGAGGAACACCGGUGGCGAAGGCGGCAUCCUGGACCGACACUGACACUGAGGAGCGAAAGCCAGGGGAGCAAACGGA